UGCACUCACUACUGUAAGUUUCUCUGGAUAAGAGCAUCUGCUAAAUUACAAAAA
This is a non-coding RNA of Salmo salar (Atlantic salmon), 54 nucleotides long. The record is from Rfam. NCBI's taxonomy places the organism in Eukaryota, Metazoa, Chordata, Actinopteri, Salmoniformes, Salmonidae.